Small nucleolar RNA from Ochotona princeps (American pika), 140 nucleotides. Its record names the gene SNORA74. It matches the Rfam family "Small nucleolar RNA SNORA74". Rfam says of the family: U19 belongs to the H/ACA class of snoRNAs. snoRNAs bind a number of proteins (including dyskerin, Gar1p and Nop10p in the case of the H/ACA class) to form snoRNP complexes. The record is from Ensembl. NCBI's taxonomy places the organism in Eukaryota, Metazoa, Chordata, Mammalia, Lagomorpha, Ochotonidae.
CCCAGCUGUAGGCAGCUGCCUAGGCUGCCUCGUACCUAGGCAAUAUUACACUGUUGGGAGAAAAGCAGCCAAUAGCUGGCUGGCAUUCUGGGCCUAGUUCAUACCAACUGUGUUAACUACACCAGUUUUGCCAGCAUAAU